Molecule: ribosomal RNA, 253 nt
Filed under: uncultured bacterium
Lineage: Bacteria
Description: partial 16S ribosomal RNA
Rfam family: Bacterial small subunit ribosomal RNA
Source: RNAcentral
UACGUAGGGUGCGAGCGUUAAUCGGAAUUACUGGGCGUAAAGCGUGCGUAGGCGGUUCGCUGUGUCCGAUGUGAAAUCCCCGGGCUCAACCUGGGAACUGCAUUUGUGACUGCAUGGCUAGAGUACGGUAGAGGGGGAUGGAAUUCCGCGUGUAGCAGUGAAAUGCGUAGAUAUGCGGAGGAACACCGAUGGCGAAGGCAAUCCCCUGGACCUGUACUGACGCUCAUGCACGAAAGCGUGGGGAGCAAACAGG